This 457-nucleotide ribosomal RNA is filed under the name uncultured bacterium. RNAcentral describes it as "partial 16S ribosomal RNA". It matches the Rfam family "Bacterial small subunit ribosomal RNA", at positions 355 to 828 of the family's 1533-position model. The record is from RNAcentral.
UGGGGAAUAUUGGACAAUGGGGGCAACCCUGAUCCAGCAAUGCCGCGUGUGUGAAGAAGGUUUUCGGAUUGUAAAGCACUUUCGACGGGGACGAUGAUGACGGUACCCGUAGAAGAAGCCCCGGCUAACUUCGUGCCAGCAGCCGCGGUAAUACGAAGGGGGCUAGCGUUGCUCGGAGUGACUGGGCGUAAAGGGCGUGUAGGCGGUUUACACAGUCAGAUGUGAAAUCCCCGGGCUUAACCUGGGAGCUGCAUUUGAUACGUGUAGACUAGAGUGUGAGAGAGGGUUGUGGAAUUCCCAGUGUAGAGGUGAAAUUCGUAGAUAUUGGGAAGAACACCGGUGGCGAAGGCGGCAACCUGGCUGCAUGACUGACGCUGAGGCGCGAAAGCGUGGGGAGCAAACAGGAUUAGAUACCCUGGUAGUCCACGCUGUAAACGAUGUGUGCUAGAUGUUGGGU